AUUUCUUUUAGAAAUCUGACUGGGGUUUCCAUUCCUCGUCCAGCUGACCAGGCACUGAGGAGGAGCCCGGAGGUGGAGGUCAGGAGCAGCUGGAAGAGCAGGAGGAGCCCGGAGGUGGAGGAAAGUAUGAAGCAACUUUCUGUGCCAGGCACCGUGCUGGCUUUGCCCCGGGAUGGGUGAGGAAGCUGUGGAAAGAGCCAGUUGUUCGUGCAGGCAUGGAUGACUAACGUGAGAGAUGAAGAAGCCCUUUCUCUGGAGACAGUCUUGAACUAGAUGAGCUCAUGGAGCCUUUGAAAAGCAUUCACCUGCUCAGGCCUCCUGCACUUGCAUCUUCAGCUCUGACCUUUCCACUGAGCUACAGGCUCACACCUACUUGUCGUCUCCAUCUGGAUAUCUACCAGCUGGAAGCUCUGUGACAGCAGAGACCUUCUCUAUCAUGUUCCCUGCAGUAUUUCCUGCUUUGAGAGCAGUUCCUG
RNAcentral lists this long non-coding RNA (476 nucleotides) under Homo sapiens (human). Its description in RNAcentral is "non-protein coding lnc-RHOB-14:1". The record is from RNAcentral. Lineage: Eukaryota; Metazoa; Chordata; Mammalia; Primates; Hominidae.